Molecule: ribosomal RNA, 402 nt
Filed under: uncultured Paracoccaceae bacterium
Lineage: Bacteria; Pseudomonadati; Pseudomonadota; Alphaproteobacteria; Rhodobacterales; Paracoccaceae
Description: bacterial SSU rRNA
Rfam family: Bacterial small subunit ribosomal RNA
Source: RNAcentral
UGGGGAAUCUUAGACAAUGGGCGCAAGCCUGAUCUAGCGAUGCCGCGUGAGUGAUGAAGGUCUUAGGAUCGUAAAGCUCUUUCGCCAGGGAUGAUAAUGACAGUACCUGGUAAAGAAACCCCGGCUAACUCCGUGCCAGCAGCCGCGGUAAUACGGAGGGGGUUAGCGUUGUUCGGAAUUACUGGGCGUAAAGCGCACGUAGGCGGACUAUUAAGUCGGGGGUGAAAUCCCGGGGCUCAACCCCGGAACUGCCUCCGAUACUGAUAGCCUAGAGUUCGAGAGAGGUGAGUGGAAUUCCGAGUGUAGAGGUGAAAUUCGUAGAUAUUCGGAGGAACACCAGUGGCGAAGGCGGCUCACUGGCUCGAUACUGACGCUGAGGUGCGAAAGCGUGGGGAGCAAACA